This 231-nucleotide ribosomal RNA is filed under the name uncultured bacterium. Its description in RNAcentral is "partial 16S ribosomal RNA". It matches the Rfam family "Bacterial small subunit ribosomal RNA", at positions 103 to 334 of the family's 1533-position model. The record is from RNAcentral.
CGGGUGAGUAACACGUAUCCAAUCUGCCGUCUACUCUUGGACAGCCUUCUGAAAGGAAGAUUAAUACAAGAUGGCAUCAUGAGUCCGCAUGUUCACAUGAUUAAAGGUAUUCCGGUAGACGAUGGGGAUGCGUUCCAUUAGAUAGUAGGCGGGGUAACGGCCCACCUAGUCUUCGAUGGAUAGGGGUUCUGAGAGGAAGGUCCCCCACAUUGGAACUGAGACACGGUCCAA